RNAcentral lists this ribosomal RNA (253 nucleotides) under uncultured bacterium. RNAcentral describes it as "partial 16S ribosomal RNA". It matches the Rfam family "Bacterial small subunit ribosomal RNA", at positions 524 to 776 of the family's 1533-position model. The record is from RNAcentral.
UACGUAGGGUCCGAGCGUUGUCCGGAAUUAUUGGGCGUAAAGAGCUCGUAGGCGGUUUGUCGCGUCUGCUGUGAAAUCCCGAGGCUCAACCUCGGGCCUGCAGUGGGUACGGGCGGACUGGAGUACUGCAGGGGAGACUGGAAUUCCUGGUGUAGCGGUGAAAUGCGCAGAUAUCAGGAGGAACACCGGUGGCGAAGGCGGGUCUCUGGGCAGUUACUGACGCUGAGGAGCGAAAGCGUGGGGAGCGAACAGG